GAUGCUUUUGGUGUUUUUAACUCCCAACCCCUGUGACAUACCUUAAUGUUGCCUCGGCGGAUCAGCCCGCGCCCGGUAAAACGGGACGGCCCGCCAGAGGAUCCAAACUCUUGCUGUUAUUGUAACUUCUGAGUAAAACAAACAAAUAAAUCAAAACUUUCAACAACGGAUCUCUUGGUUCUGGCAUCGAUGAAGAACGCAGCAAAAUGCGAUAAGUAAUGUGAAUUGCAGAAUUCAGUGAAUCAUCGAAUCUUUGAACGCACAUUGCGCCCGCCAGUAUUCUGGCGGGCAUGCCUGUUCGAGCGUCAUUUCAACCCUCAAGCCCCCGGGUUUGGUGUUGGGGAUCGGCAAGCCUUCUGGCGAGCCGCCCCCUAAAUCUAGUGGCGGUCUCACUGCAGCCUCCAUUGCGUAGUAGCUAACACCUCGCAACUGGAACGCGGUGCGGCCAUGCCGUUAAACCCCCAACUUCUGAAUGUUGACCUCGGAUCAGGUAGGAAUACCCGCUGAACUUAAGCAUAUCAAUAAGCGGAGGAA
RNAcentral lists this ribosomal RNA (534 nucleotides) under fungal endophyte. Its description in RNAcentral is "eukaryotic LSU rRNA". The stretch from base 155 to 308 matches the Rfam family "5.8S ribosomal RNA". The record is from RNAcentral. Lineage: Eukaryota; Fungi.